GACGAACGCUGGCGGCGUGCUUAACACAUGCAAGUCGAACGGAAAGGCCCUGCUUUUGUGGGGUGCUCGAGUGGCGAACGGGUGAGUAACACGUGAGUAACCUGCCCUUGACUUUGGAUAACUUCAGGAAACUGGGGCUAAUACCGGAUAGGAGCUCCUGCUGCAUGGUGGGGGUUGGAAAGUUUCGGCGGUUGGGGAUGGACUCGCGGCUUAUCAGCUUGUUGGUGGGGUAGUGGCUUACCAAGGCUUUGACGGGGAGCCGGCCUGAGAGGGUGACCGGCCACAUUGGGACUGAGAUACGGCCCAGACUCCUACGGGAGGCAGCAGUGGGGAAUAUUGCACAAUGGGCGGAAGCCUGAUGCAGCAACGCCGCGUGCGGGAUGACGGCCUUCGGGUUGUAAACCGCUUUCGCCUGUGACGAAGCGUGAGUGACGGUAAUGGGUAAAGAAGCACCGGCUAACUACGUG
Molecule: ribosomal RNA, 467 nt
Filed under: uncultured bacterium
Lineage: Bacteria
Description: partial 16S ribosomal RNA
Rfam family: Bacterial small subunit ribosomal RNA
Source: RNAcentral